UCCACCUCACCCUCACCUCACUCACGACCUCACAUCCCCCAUUUCAUACUUUUAGACUUUCAUUCUUUUUUCACUUAGCCGACCACCUCACUCAUGGCUUUUCAUCAAAAAAUAUCAACAAUUCCUCAGGCAGCCCACAACCUUAGCUCUUUGCGAUGACCCUCGUCAUCCCUUCUUUGCGACAUCUCACAACUCUUCAUCCUUUGUCCUCCCUCCUUGAAAAAAAGGAGUGACGGCACAUCUAGCACUAGGGCUUCAGAAACUAUUCAGUCCUAACUUAUCACAUUUUUACUACUGAUGGAGUUGCUGUUUGAAAAAGAAUAUGCCACUGCCAAGGACAUUUGGAUUUUUUUUGCUUGUUGCUGCCAAUAUCAAUAGACCAAUGCAUAUUUCCUUUAAUGCUAUUUGAAUAUUUCUUUUUGCUUGUUGUUGUUGAUGUUGCUACGAAUAUCAGGAGACUAAUUUUGCUUGAGUUCUUGGGUUCUUGAUUUUUUUGUUUGUUGGCUGAUCAAUGUAUAUUUCUUUUAAUUGC
Long non-coding RNA from Malus domestica (apple), 532 nucleotides. RefSeq lists it as uncharacterized. Lineage: Eukaryota; Viridiplantae; Streptophyta; Magnoliopsida; Rosales; Rosaceae. The record is from RefSeq and is a predicted model, not a curated record.